Molecule: long non-coding RNA, 8404 nt
Filed under: Malus domestica (apple)
Lineage: Eukaryota; Viridiplantae; Streptophyta; Magnoliopsida; Rosales; Rosaceae
Description: long non-coding RNA (MDOM_LNC017175)
Source: RNAcentral
GAUUUCGAUUUGGAAGAAGUCGAACUUGAUAUUUCUUUUCUUUCUGUUGAGGAAGCUAAUUCUUCCCUUCUACUCAUUCACAUUGUUUUGUAUCAUACUGCCACUGACCAUGUUCUUACCUGAGGCAGAACUGCCUCUUUGGGUAAUCUGCUACAUUCCGAUUUUCAUGUCCUUUCUAAACAUCCUCCCCUCCCCGAAAUCAUUCCCUUUCUUGGUCCCCUACCUUCUUUUCGAGAACACAAUGUCUGUCACAAAGUUCAACGCCAUGGUCUCAGGGCUAUUCCAGCUCGGAAGUUCCUACGAGUGGGUGGUGACAAAGAAGACCGGAAGAUCAUCUGAGUCGGAUUUGCUAGCCUAUUCAGAGAGGGAAUCGUUGUCUGCGAACGAAGAGAAGAUCCUGAGGAGGAACUCCGAGUCGGGUCUAGAACUACUAAGCAAACUUAAGGAACAAGAAGAAGUAGUUCCCAAGAAAAAGAAGAAGAAUGGGAUCUACAGGAAAGAGCUUGCUCUAGCUUUCUUGCUGCUCACUGCAGCAGCCAGAAGCUUCUUAUCUGCUCAUGGAGUUCACUUCUACUUCUUGCUUUUCCAAGGCUUGUCAUUUCUUGCUGUAGGGUUGGACUUAAUAGGUGAGCAGAUGGGCUAAAACAAGCUAAACAAAGUUCAUAUUUUUUUCCCAUAGUUUUUUCUUUUGACAGCUACGAUGAACCCUAAUCACGUACGAGAAAUUAUUGUGUGGGACGGUAUCACCACAUCAAAUGGGGUUCAAAAGUUGAAUUCAUUUUUACAUGUAGAAACAUUUUCCUUUUUGUUAGAUAGUAUAAGAAAUAAAUUAUUGUACAAUGGUAUAUGUCAUCAGUGUAUGAAGUAUUGAUAAUCAAGUAUAAACAACUCAGUUAUUUUUUCAUUGCUUUAUGAAUUGUGGGGUUUUACGCUCCAUUUUCGUCCAUUUGCACUCCUCUUCUUGCUUCUAUAUGUUCGAAUUAUCAAGGCAUAUGCAAAAACAAGGGAGCGUGAAAACUGUCACCGGAACAGAAAAACACAUACCACCUCAACACAACCAAGAAACAAAAUGAACCAAACUUUGUACUAUAAAUCAGUCAAGACUUGAAAUAGAAGCAUAAUUUUUUACAUAAACUUGAGCCGGAAUUGGAUUUUUUGUCAAAUGUAGUAACUUUGUGUUGCAUAAAACCUAAACCCUAAAAAAACAAGGGAGAGAGUAAAUUAUCGUCGAAACUUUAGAGUCUAUUUGGUACUCUACUUGAAUUUAACUUUUUAAAACGCAAAACAAUUUUCAAGUUUUAGGCCUUAAAAACUUGUUUGGUAAGACUAUUUUCAAAAACUGAACUCAAGACUAACUCAAAAAUAUAGUCUAUUCUCUAAAAACACAAAAAGUGAGUUUUAAGAGUUUUUAAACUUAAACUCACUAUUUUCUUUUUUCUACCUCCUCCCCUCUCACUCUAAAUCUAUCUCUCUUUUAUUCUUUCUCUCUCGCCCUUCGCUUUCUUUCUUCUUCUUUUUUUACCUUUUUCAUCUCUCCUUCAAUCUGCUCUCUUCAUUCUCUCGAUUCUUUUUCUCAUUCCUCUUUCUCUCUAUCUCCUCCGAUCCUUUCACUUCUUUCUCUCUCAGACCCCCUCUUUUUUGAUCUCUUUGUUAGUGUUACUCUAAUUUAGCUGGAUUUGUUUUUAGAAUACUGAACAGAAGCAAAAGCAAAGAUGGAAGAUGAACCGAAAAAUAGUUUUUUUCUUUCUUGUUCUCUACUGCAAAAAUAUUGCAGAGGAAUAUUUUGUACUACUCAGAAAAAUGAGCACUCACACUGCUUUACAUUUAACUGAUGGCCUUAGCUUUAGGACCACACUAAACACUACUUUUAAUCUUAGUCACUCAUCAACCUAAUUACAUGGAUCAAACACCACAUGGCACUCAUGGCCUUACAUCAUUUAACCUUACACUUGGCAUAUAUGCUCAAAUGAAUACACACAUUAAAACUCAUCUUAUUUCUAAUACUUAAUCAGCUAGAGACUUAUAAUUCAACACUCCCCUUUAAGUCUUGAGCUGAUUUCACUCCUAGCAUGUUCCUGAGAUAAUUAAACCGAUCUUUAGGCAGAGGUUUUGUGAAGAUAUCAGCAAGUUGUUCAUUAGUUGGACAGUACACCAGAUCAAUGAUACCAUCCUUCAGUGCAUCCUUGAUGAAAUGGUAUCUUCUGUUAAUGUGUUUGGUCUUUUGAUGAAACACAGAGAGUUCUUGGUGAUUGCAAUUGCUGAGGUGUUGUCACAGUGCACUGGAGUGGCUUCGGUUUGAAAUUCACCAAAGUCUUCAAGCACAAAUCUCAACCAAAUGGCUUGAGUAGUUGCUUCUGAAGCACUGAUGUACUCUGCUUCUGCAGUGGAAAGAGCAACGCAAUUUUGCUUCACAGAUGCCCAAGAGAAUACUCCACUGCCAAAGGAGAAAGCAUAACCAGAAGUACUUUUACUGUCCUCAAUUGAUCCACUCCAGUCACUGUCACAGAACCCAAUUAACAUUGAGUUCUUACCCUUCACAUAUUCCAGACCAUAAUCAAGUGUACCCUUAAUGUAUCUUAGCACUCUUUUAGCAGUUCCAACAUGCUUACUGGUAGGGCAGUGCAUAAAUCUGGCUAACAGACUGGAUGCAUACAUAAUAUCAGGCCUGGUUGCAGUGAGAUAUAAGAGACUUCCCACAAAACUUCUGUAUAACUCUUCACUUGCAGCACCACUUCCAUCAUUCGUGGUUAACUUCUCAGUUGCAACUAAUGGAGUAAGCACAGGUUUGCACUCUUUUAGACCAAAUUUGUCUAACAAAGAGCUUGCAUAUUUCUUUUGGUGGAUGAAAAUGCUUGAAGUGGUCUGAAUUAUUCCCAUUCCAAGAAAAUGAUGUAGAAGGCCCAAAUCAGUCAUCUCAUACUUUCGUUUCAUGUCUUCCUUGAAUUCUUCAAGCAUUUGUUUGUUGCUCCCAGUAUAGAUUAUGUCAUCCACAUAGAUCGACACAAUCAAAAUGCCUUCCUCUUCUGUCUUGAUGUACAGUGUUGGUUCACUUAAGCUUCUUGUGAAACCACAUUGUGAGAAAUAGGUAUCUAUUUCUCCAUACCAGGCCCGUGGUGCCUGUUUUAGACCAUACAAGGCUUUGUGAAGUUUGUAUACCCUGUCUUCCUCCCCUUUAGCUACAAAACCAUCAGGCUGCUCCACAUAAACCUCCUCCUCUAGAACACCAUUCAGAAAAGCCGAUUUUGACAUCAAGUUGAUAGAGUUUCCAACACUUUUGUGCAGCCAAUGCUAUAAGAGUUCUGAUUGUAUCUAAACGGGCAACAGGAGCAAAGGUCUCGUUGUAAUCUAUUCCUGGUUUCUGGGCAUAUCCCUUUGCAACAAGCCUUGCCUUGUUCUUUUUGCACAGUUCCAUCCAAGUUGAGCUUGGUUUUAAACACCCAUUUUACUCCAAUUAUAGGCUUGUUACUUGGCCUGUCCACUAACUCCCAGGUUGCAUUUUUUUCAAUCAUUGAAAGCUCAUCCUUCAUAGCAUUCAUCCAAGAUUCAUCCUUACUUGCAUCUUCAUAUCUCUCUGGUUCCAUAAUGCACAGAUUACAUUUAGCAAGUACAUCAUCCAGCCUUCUCCAUUUUAAUGGAGUAUGAUCAAUCACUUGUGAAUCUCUUGUACUUUCACAAGAUCUACUAGAGGAUUCAGUAGAUUGGACUUGAGGAGUAACCGGUGCAUUAUCAGUAUCACUUGUUAUUUCUGUCAAACUUCUAGAUGGCAAAGUAUUAGAGGUUGGGGUCUCAACCUCUGUGAAUGCACUGCUUGGUGACUCACCAGACUGCCCUUCAUAAUUGAACAUAGACACAUGUUUCUCUGUGCUUUCCUGCCAAUUCCAACUUGAAUCUUCAUCAAACACAACGUCUCUUGACAGUAUUACCCUUUUAGAAAAUGGAUCAAAGACCCUAUAACCUUUCUCACACCUUGCAUAGCCAAUAAAAACUCCCUUUAGACUCUUAGCUUCUAAUUUGUGCCUUAAUUCAGCUGGGAUAUGAACAUAACAAACUGAGCCAAAAAUCUUCAAAUGUGCAAUACCCGGUUUCCUUCCACUGUAAGCUUCAAAGGGGGUUAUGUUAUCAAGAGACCUGGUAGGACAUCGAUUCAGAAUGUACACAGCAGUAUGCACAGCUUCUGCCCACAUAUAAUAGGGCAUUCCUUUAUCGUGUAGCAUAGACUUAGCCAUUUCAACCACGGUUCUGUUUUUCCUUUCCACCACUCCAUUUUGCUGUGGAGUGUAUGCAAGAGAAAGUUGCCUUUGAAUGCCUUCUGUAUCACAGAACUGAUUGAACUCAGUAGACAAGAACUCCCCUCCUCUGUCACUCCUCAGACAUUUCACCCUUAAACCAGUUUGUAACUCAGUCAUUGCUUUUGAAUUUCUUGAAGCAGGAGAAGGCCUCAGAUUUAUAUUUAAGAAAGUAUACCCAGAUCAUUCGUGUUGCAUCAUCCACAAGCAGCAUAAAGUAUUUGUUUCCUCCAGUGGAUUCAUUUCUCAUUGGUCCACAUAGAUCAACAUGGAUCAAUUCGAGUGAAGCACCAGCUCUUUGUGUUUGACCACUAGGGAAACUUUCUCUGUGCUGUUUACCAUAUUGACAACCUUCACAGACUCUAUCAUUCUCUUCUAGAUCUGGUAAUCCAUGAACCAUAUCUUUCUCCUUCAAUUUUUUGAUUCCACCAAAGUUUAGGUGGCCAAGUCUUCUGUGCCAAGUCCGGGCACAGUUAGCAAAACUGAGCUUCAACACAAGUUGCUUUUCAGAACUUAGAGAUAGAGGAUAGCAUCUGUUUCCUCUCAUCUUUACACUGAUAAUUUGACAUUCCAGAGAAGGGCCAUCAAAGACAGUACACAUACCUCCACCAAACACAAGAUAGUAUCCGUGCUCAUCCAUUUGUCCUACACUAAGUAGAUUCUCUUUCAAGCCAGGUAGGUACAUGACUUCUCGAAUGUAUUUUCUUCCUCUGUUAGUCUCAAUUUCCAGUGAUCCAAUUCCUGCCACAUUAACUAAUCCUCCUGUUGGCAUUUGAACCUUCCCUGCAACAUUCGUAUUCACAUCAACAAGAAGAUCAACAUUUCCUGUCAUAUGAUUACUGCAGCCGCUAUCUAUGUACCAAUCUCCAUUAACCUUAGUCUCAGCAACUGCACAAUUUGCAUAAAACAAGUUCCCUGUUACUUCCAUUUGACUGGCACAGUUUGCCUUUUGAACAGACUUUCCAACAGUACAUUCUUUUGCCCAGUGCCCAAAUCUGUCACAGUUAUAGCACUUAGAUUUCCCCUUAUACCUACAUUCACCAUAAUGAAACUUUAAACACACCUUACAUUGAGGUUUUACACUCUCUUGACCCAUACCCUGUGAGGAAGUACUAUUCUGUGCAACACUUGUGUAUGAUUUUUGCUGAAACUUUGGUUUUGACUCCCAUUUCUUGCCCUUUUGAUUCCAAUUUCUCUGUGGUUUAAAGGUACUAGACUGAGCAUAACUUCGAUUCUGCCCUUUUGAACUAACAGUAAGAGAAGAAAAUGCUCUCUCAGUUGCAUCUGAGGAAUGCAAAUCAAACCUCUGCUCUUGACUCUUCAAUAUAGCUAAUACCUCUUGCAGUUCAACAGAUUCUAAACAUUUAGUGUUUUCUAUCACUAAGCAUAUAGGAUCAUAUAUCUUAGUGAGACUGAUUAACACCUUCUGAACUAAUCUCUCAUUUGACAUAGUUUCACCAAACGUCUUCAUUUGAUUAAUCAGAUCAUUUAAACGAGUAAGAUACCCAGUCAAAGAUUCAUCAUCACGCAUUCUAGUGUAUUCAAAUUCUCGUCUAAGAUUCUGGAGUUUCACAGAUCUUACCUGAUCCCCACCGUGAUAUUCGCCAUAUAACAGAUCCCAUGCCAUUUUUGCUGAGUCUGCGUUUGCGAUUCGAGGGAAAAUCUGAUCGGAGACUGCGCUUUGAAUGAUUCCGAGAGCUUUUGCAUCUUUCAUGAAGAUUGCAGCCAUUUUCUCAUCAUCGUCAACAUCAACCUCUGUAUGUUCAUCAGUCUUAGCUUCCUUCUUCUUCGAAUCAGGAACCGGAAUCCCUUUUUCCACCAGAUUCCACAGUCCAUACGACUUGAAAAUGGUAACCAUUUUGAUUCUCCAGAACUCGUAGUUCUCACCGGAAAAAGAUCGGGGUCCUCACUUCAGCACUCCCAGGUCCAGCCAUCGUGAGCUUGUGUGAACCCAGAAACACGUAGUUCUUAGAUCACAGAUAAGCUCCGGCAAACUUCACCAAGUCCAGAGACGGUGACGUUUGAGCUCACAGAAACACGCCCAGAUCUAAUCGAAACAAGGCUCUGAGGCCAUGUUAGUGUUACUCUAAUUUAGCUGGAUUUGUUUUUAGAAUACUGAACAGAAGCAAAAGCAAAGAUGGAAGAUGAACCGAAAAAUAGUUUUUUUCUUUCUUGUUCUCUACUGCAAAAAUAUUGCAGAGGAAUAUUUUGUACUACUCAGAAAAAUGAGCACUCACACUGCUUUACAUUUAACUGAUGGCCUUAGCUUUAGGACCACACUAAACACUACUUUUAAUCUUAGUCACUCAUCAACCUAAUUACAUGGAUCAAACACCACAUGGCACUCAUGGCCUUACAUCAUUUAACCUUACACUUGGCAUAUAUGCUCAAAUGAAUACACACAUUAAAACUCAUCUUAUUUCUAAUACUUAAUCAGCUAGAGACUUAUAAUUCAACACUCUUUGUCUAGUUUAAAUUGUAAGAUUUAGAAUUUUUAAAUCGCAUACUAAACAAGUUUUUGAGUCUUAAAGAAAAUUGUUUUCAAGAAAUUUUUUGAGAAAUUAUAAAAAAAUUUAAAUAGGAUAUCAAACAAGCCCUUAAAAAAUACAUAUCACCAAACACAACCAAGAACAAAAUGAACAAAACUGUUAGACCAAGUCCGAGUCUGGUGGUGGUUUCCUCAAAUUCAGGAGGUUGUGAUCAACCUAAACUCUUAUCCAAGAAGAGUUAGAUGAGUUCAAACUUCUUUUCGAAUGUUAGUUGUUUUCCGUCAUACGUUUUGUAGCUUCUGUUGUAAUUUUGAAUUUGAAACAGCCUUGUAAAUAGGGAUUUCAAUCCCUGAUGUAAUUUGAACGUGAAUAUAAAUACAUGCAGCCUCUCUUUGAAAGGGCAUGCAAUUGAAAUGAAACCUUGAGAGUUCUUAAGUAUUACAUGGUAUACGAGCCCUAGCAGUCUAACGACUUAGAUCCUGAUUUUUUUUUCCAUGGCUGAUACCACAAACGGCGCUGCAACCUCCACCAACUCUAUUUCAAACCCUGCCAUGAAUCCUUUCUCAUCCAUGACUACGGUUGUCAACAUCAAACUGGAUCAAACCAACUAUCCUCUGUGGUUGGCUCAGAUCCUACCAAUCCUCAAGAGUCGUAACCUGAUGGGAUAUGUUGAUGGGUCAAUCGUAUGUCCACCCAAACAUCUUCCUGGUGCUGAUGCUCUCAACCCAGCAUACACAACUUGGGUGCAGCAUGAUCAAAUGAUACUAAGCUGGAUCAAUGGCUCUCUCACGCCAUCUGUGUUGUCCGUCAUCGCCAACAAGAGGUCCUCUCAUGACACCUAGGAGGCUCUCGAGCAACGAUAUGCUUCUACGUCCCAAAAUCGUAUUUUGUUUCUUCGAAAUGAACUGAUGCAAACUAAGAAAGGAGACAUGUCUAUUGCUGAUUAUCUUGAUCGAAUGAACUCGAUUGCUGAUAACCUUGCCUUAGUUGGCAACCCCGUGAAUGAUGAUGAACUUGUCCAGAUUAUCUUGAACAAUUUGGGCCCUGCCUAUGAAAUGACAGUGAGUGCUGCUCAAGCACGUGAUACUCCAAUCGCGUACCUUACACUUGAGGCCCUCCUACUGACUACCGAGAGACGAAUGGCUGCACAGACUGCUCAGCCUGUGGAGGCUGCUCCGGUGAAUGCCUUUGUAACUGCCAGAGGUCGUGGUGGACGACUUCGUGGAAAUGAACGUGGUGUUUUUCCGUCUGCACGUGGUGGUGGUGCUGUCAACCCGUGGGUGUCUUGAUAUUUCUUUUCUUUCUGUUGAGGAAGCUAAUUCUUCCCUUCUACUCAUUCACAUUGUUUUGUAUCGUACUCCCACUGACCAUGUUCUUACCUGAGGCAGAACUGCCUCUUUGGGUAAUCUGCUACAUUCCGAUUUUCAUGUCCUUUCUAAACAUCCUCCCGUCCCCGAAAUCAUUCCCUUUCUUGGUCCCCUACCUUCUUUUCGAGAACACAAUGUCUGUCACAAAGUUCAACGCCAUGGUCUCAGGGCUAUUCCAGCUCGGAAGUUCCUACGAGUGGGUGGUGACAAAGAAGACCGGAAGAUCAUCUGAGUCGGAUUUGCUAGCCUAUUCAGAGAGGGA